RNAcentral lists this ribosomal RNA (426 nucleotides) under uncultured bacterium. Its description in RNAcentral is "partial 16S ribosomal RNA". It matches the Rfam family "Bacterial small subunit ribosomal RNA", at positions 354 to 796 of the family's 1533-position model. The record is from RNAcentral.
GUGAGGAAUUUUCCGCAAUGGGCGAAAGCCUGACGGAGCAAUGCCGCGUGAAGGAUGAAGGCCUAUGGGUUGUAAACUUCUUUUCUCAGAAAAGAAUUAUGACGGUAUCUGAGGAAUAAGCAUCGGCUAACUCUGUGCCAGCAGCCGCGGUAAGACAGAGGAUGGAAGCGUUAUCCGGAAUGAUUGGGCGUAAAGCGUCUGUAGGUUGUUUAAAAAGUAUUCUGUCAAAGAUUAGGGCUUAACCCUAGAUAGGCAGAAUAAACUUUUAAGCUAGAGUUUGGUAGAGGCAGAGGGAAUUCCCGGUGGAGCGGUGAAAUGCGUAGAUAUCGGGAGGAACACCAAAGGCGAAGGCACUCUGCUGGGCCAAUACUAACACUGAGAGACGAAAGCGAGGGGAGCAAAUGGGAUUAGAAACCCGAGUAGUCC